AGCCUUUUUGUCAUCUAUUGCCAAUCUUACACAUGCAAGUAUCCGCAUACCCGUGAAAACGCCCUCAACUCUCUACUAAGGAAGAGGAGCCGGUAUCAGGCACAACAUAUUUAGCCCACUACACCUAGCCACGCCACGCCCACAAGGGUAUUCAGCAGUGAUAAACAUUGUUAAUAAGCGCCAGCUUGAAUCAGUUACGGCAAAGAGGGCCGGCAAAUCCGGUGCCAGCCGCCGCGGCUACACCGUUAGGCCCAAGUUGACACACAUCGGCGUUAAGCGUGAUUAGAGUGACUUUACAGAUUAGAGUUAAACCCAAACUUAGUUGUGAUACACUUGUCCCCAGGAAACCCAAAAACGAAAGUUACUCUAACCAACCCACUUGACUACACGACAGCUAGGAUACAAACUGGGAUUAGGUACCCCACUAUGCCUAGCCGUAAAACAUACACUCACCCCAUAAAUCGCCAGGGAAUUACGAGCCCAAGCUUAAAACCCAAAGGACUUGACGGUGUCCCACCCACCUAGAGGAGCCUGUUCUGUAAUCGAUUAUCCCCGAUAAACCUCACCAUUUCUAGUAAACUCAGCCUGUAUACCUCCGUCGCAAGCUUACCAUGUGAACGUCUACUAGUGAGCUCAAAGAUUCCUCAUCCACACGUCAGGUCAAGGUGCAGCUAACGAACUGGGAAGAAAUGGGCUACAAUUUCUAUAAUAGAACAAACGAAAGGCUACAUGAAACACAGCCACUGAAGGCGGAUUUAGCAGUAAAAAGAAAAUAGAGAGUUCUUUUUAACAAGGCGCUGGGACGCGUACACACCGCCCGUCACCCUCUUCGAAUGC
Molecule: non-coding RNA, 837 nt
Filed under: Chiasmocleis albopunctata (white-spotted humming frog)
Lineage: Eukaryota; Metazoa; Chordata; Amphibia; Anura; Microhylidae
Description: partial small subunit ribosomal RNA
Rfam family: Bacterial small subunit ribosomal RNA
Source: RNAcentral